UAGGGAAUCUUCGGCAAUGGACGGAAGUCUGACCGAGCAACGCCGCGUGAGUGAAGAAGGUUUUCGGAUCGUAAAGCUCUGUUGUUAGAGAAGAACGUUGGUAGGAGUGGAAAAUCUACCAAGUGACGGUAACUAACCAGAAAGGGACGGCUAACUACGUGCCAGCAGCCGCGGUAAUACGUAGGUCCCGAGCGUUGUCCGGAUUUAUUGGGCGUAAAGCGAGCGCAGGCGGUUCUUUAAGUCUGAAGUUAAAGGCAGUGGCUUAACCAUUGUACGCUUUGGAAACGGGAGGACUUGAGUGCAGAAGGGGAGAGUGGAAUUCCAUGUGUAGCGGUGAAAUGCGUAGAUAUAUGGAGGAACACCGGUGGCGAAAGCGGCUCUCUGGUCUGUCACUGACGCUGAGGCUCGAAAGCGUGGGGAGCAAACAGG
RNAcentral lists this ribosomal RNA (429 nucleotides) under Bacillota bacterium. RNAcentral's name for it is "Firmicutes bacterium partial 16S ribosomal RNA". It matches the Rfam family "Bacterial small subunit ribosomal RNA", at positions 355 to 776 of the family's 1533-position model. The record is from RNAcentral. Lineage: Bacteria; Bacillati; Bacillota.